This 75-nucleotide transfer RNA is filed under the name Streptomyces sp. NHF165. RNAcentral's name for it is "tRNA-Ala". It matches the Rfam family "tRNA". Rfam says of the family: Transfer RNA (tRNA) molecules are approximately 80 nucleotides in length. Their secondary structure includes four short double-helical elements and three loops (D, anti-codon, and T loops). Lineage: Bacteria; Bacillati; Actinomycetota; Actinomycetes; Kitasatosporales; Streptomycetaceae. The record is from RNAcentral.
GGUCCCGUAGCGCAGAGGCAGGCGCACCGACACGGCAUGUCGGGCACGCCGGUUCGAAUCCGGUCGGGACCUCCC